RNAcentral lists this unclassified non-coding RNA (699 nucleotides) under Hevea brasiliensis (rubber tree). The record is from RNAcentral. Lineage: Eukaryota; Viridiplantae; Streptophyta; Magnoliopsida; Malpighiales; Euphorbiaceae.
GUGUAAUUAGGUAUCAGAUUGGUGUGAGCCAGAGUCUGCCGUGUCUUAGGACACACAGUAAGCCCAAGUUCAAUCCAGUUUUUAAUGAAUGCUCGCUCAUAGGUUUGCCCUGAUGCCACAAUCACCGGAUCAGUCAUCAACUCAAGAGAAAGAGGACAGCAAAAAUCAGCAGGUAUUGGGACUGGGCUAUUGGUCUGAGACUGUUUUAUCAGAACAAGAUGAUCAUGCAUGCGAGUGACAAGAAAAAUCAUUUGAUCAAAUAACUCAGCCUCCCUGGUGUUUUCAGCUUGUUCAGCAUUCUCCUUCAACUUCUCAAGGGCCACUGCUUCAAUGAGAAUCUCCUGAUUGGACCUCAAGCUUAAGCCCUCUGCAAUUUUCACCAGGAUCUCUGAGCUGGAUCCAUCACUCUCCACCUGGUCCCUUAUAGCUUCCCUAACAAUAGAUGAUAUUUGUUCAUAUCCCAUUUGCUUAAUUUUUUGUGAGCAGUACUCAAGAGAUGAUGAACUUAAUUCAUCAGGGAAAUGUUCAUGGGAAGACUUCAACAGCUGAAANCAUAUCCAGACCCAAAGUCCUGAUCUUUGAUAUUAAUGAUUCAGUUUGCAGAACAAAAUAAACUUUACUCGACAAUGGUUGCCAGUUUUCAAAGAGUUCCCUCAGUUCAUCAACAGACUGGCCCAAUUCAUGAAAUGCCUUAUUAAG